RNAcentral lists this unclassified non-coding RNA (248 nucleotides) under Glomeromycotina sp. Its description in RNAcentral is "partial contains small subunit ribosomal RNA, internal transcribed spacer 1, and 5.8S ribosomal RNA". The stretch from base 1 to 47 matches the Rfam family "Eukaryotic small subunit ribosomal RNA", at positions 1785 to 1831 of the family's 1831-position model. The record is from RNAcentral. Lineage: Eukaryota; Fungi; Glomeromycota.
AAAGUCGUAACAAGGUUUCCGUAGGUGAACCUGCGGAAGGAUCAUUAUGAGAUUUUAGAGAGGUUGUUUGGGGGAAGAGAUUUGGAAAAAUCUCUUUCUCUAAUGCCUUUUAACCUCCACGUGUGAACUUGUAAAGGUUAGGAGAGAUGUUAUGAUCUCUCCUAACCCUAAAACUUUUAAAAACGUCAAACAUGUCUGAACAAAAAAGAAAUACAUUACAACUUUUAACAAUGGAUCUCUUGGUUCUC